Molecule: long non-coding RNA, 1890 nt
Organism: Oncorhynchus keta (chum salmon)
Lineage: Eukaryota; Metazoa; Chordata; Actinopteri; Salmoniformes; Salmonidae
Exons: 4
Source: RefSeq, a predicted model, not a curated record
GACUGUAUUCUAGUCUGACUGGGCCUCUACUCUGGGACUCUAUUCUAGUCUGACUGGGCCUCUACUCUGGGACACUAUUAUAGUCUGACUGGGCCUCUACUCUGGGACUCUAUUAUAGUCUGACUGGGCCUCUACUCUGGGACUCUAUUCUAGUCUGACAGGGCCUCUAGUCUGGGACUCUAUUCUAGUCUGACUGGGCCUCUACUCUGGGACUCUAUUCUAGUCUGACAGGGCCUCUACUCUGGGACUCUAUUAUAGUCUGACUGGGCCUCUACUCUGGGACUCUAUUCUAGUCUGACAGGGCCUCUACUCUGGGACUAUAUUCUAGUCUGACUGGGCCUCUACUCUGGGACUAUAUUCUAGUCUGACAGGGCCUCUACUCUGGGACUAUAUUCUAGUCUGACAGGGCCUCUACUCUGGGACUCUAUUCUAGUCUGACUGGGCCUCUACUCUGGGACUCUAUUCUAGUCUGACAGGGCCUCUACUCUGGGACUCUAUUCUAGUCUGACAGGGCCUCUACUCUGGGACUAUAUUCUAGUCUGACUGGGCCUCUACUCUGGGACACUAUUCUAGUCUGACUGGGCCUCUACUCUGGGACUCUAUUCUAGUCUGACUGGGCCUCUACUCUGGGACUCUAUUCUAGUCUGACUGGGCCUCUACUCUGGGACUGUAUUCUAGUCUGACUGGGCCUCUACUCUGGGACUCUAUUCUAGUCUGACUGGGCCUCUACUCUGGGACUCUAUUCUAGUCUGACUGGGACUCUACUCUGGGACUCUAUUCUAGUCUGACUGGGCCUCUACUCUGGGACUAUAUUCUAGUCUGACAGAGGCUCUACUCUGGGACUCUAUUCUAGUCUGACAGGGCCUCUACUCUGGGACUCUAUUCUAGUCUGACAAGGCCUCUAGUCUGGGACUCUAUUCUAGUCUGACUGGGCCUCUACUCUGGGACUCUAUUCUAGUCUGACUGGGCCUCUACUCUGGGACUCUAUUCUAGUCUGACAGGGCCUCUACUCUGGGACUGUAUUCUAGUCUGACAGGGCCUCUACUCUGGGACUAUAUUCUAGUCUGACAGGGCCUCUACUCUGGGACUGUAUUCUAGUCUGACAGGGCCUCUACUCUGGGACUGUAUUCUAGUCUGACUGGGACUCUACUCUGGGACUCUAUUCUAGUCUGACUGGGCCUCCACUCUGGGAGGCAUGCAGGCAAACUUAAAUCAGUUUUACCUAAUUUCUACCAGCAUAUCACAUGUGCAUAGGAUGCGCUCCUAGUGACUGGUGAAUUUAACUUUAACUUAAAUGCUGUUUGACCUAAUUUAUAAUCAAAUCAAAUCAAAUCAAAAUGUAAUUUGUCACAUCUGCGGAAAACUACAGGUUACUUCACCUUACUGUGAAAUACUUACUUUACAAGCCCUUAACCAACAGUGCAGCUCAAGAAACAGAAUUAAAAAAUAUUUACAAAAUAAACUAAAGAACAAAAAAUACAAUUAAAAAAGUAAAACAAGAAAAUCACACAACAAUAACAAGGCAAUAUACAGGGGGUACCGGUACCAAGUCAAUGUGUGGGGUACCGGUACCAAGUCAAUGUGUGGGGUACCGGUACCAAGUCAAGGUGUGGGGUACCGGUACCAAGUCAAUGUGUGGGGUACAGGUUAGUCAAGGUGUGGGGUACCGGUACCAAGUCAAUGUGUGGGGUACAGGUUAGUCAAGGUGUGGGGUACCGGUACCAAGUCAAUGUGUGGGGUACAGGUUAGUCAAGGUGUGGGGUACAGGUUAGUCAAGGUGUGGGGUACCGGUACCAAGUCAAUGUGUGGGGUACAGGUUAGUCAAUGUGUGGGGUACAGGUUAGUCAAUGUGUGGGGUACAGGUUAGUCAAUGUGUGGGGUACAGGUUAG